UACGAAGGGGGCGAGCGUUGUUCGGAAUUACUGGGCGUAAAGGGCUCGUAGGCGGCCAACUAAGUCAGACGUGAAAUCCCUCGGCUUAACCGGGGAACUGCAUCUGAUACUGGAUGGCUUGAGUUCGGGAGAGGGAUGCGGAAUUCCAGGUGUAGCGGUGAAAUGCGUAGAUAUCUGGAGGAACACCGGUGGCGAAGGCGGCAUCCUGGACCGGCACUGACGCUGAGGAGCGAAAGCCAGGGGAGCAAACGGG
RNAcentral lists this ribosomal RNA (253 nucleotides) under uncultured bacterium. RNAcentral describes it as "partial 16S ribosomal RNA". It matches the Rfam family "Bacterial small subunit ribosomal RNA", at positions 524 to 776 of the family's 1533-position model. The record is from RNAcentral.